AUGGCAUGGGGUCCUGGCCAGCACCUGGCAAAACUCCCGAAGCAGCAAAAUUUCCGCUGGCGCAGGAGUCCUCUCCCUCCCUUCGGUCCUUGGUACAAUAAGCUUUUCAGCAGCAGAGGGCGGCAGAGAUUGGAAGAAAAAACCGCUAGCGAAAUCCUGCAGCAGCGGCAGAAGAAAAACUCCUCCUGUUCGCACGGGAAACCGUCCCCACCAGACCCGCUGUGUCCCCGACUGCCGCUCGGCGGCAGGGACAGCCCAGAAACCACAGAAACGGGCCAGGGAAGGACUCACCUUGCACAGUGCGGAUUCGCUUUGGCAGAGCGCGAGCUGGGAGCUAUUGGGAGAAAGAGAAAGCGCAAAUGUAUUUCUGUCCUUUCGGCUAAUGCUUUUGCAUGAGGCGUUCGCUCCUGUUAGUUGGCUGGUAGGAGGAAAAACAUAGUGGUUAAAUAUUUGCGAGGAGUAGGAAAAGCAAUUCAAAAUGACAUAUGAGCCCCCAGGUCCUACUUUGGGAUGUGAGAAAAAUAGAGCAUGCAAAAUGCAGCGCUCUUCCCGCACGGCCGGGGGACGAGCCUGGUGGAGGAGGCUUCGCUUGACUGCCCGACCCCAAUUCGGGUGAGUGGUGUGUCGGCAAAGGCCCCUUCCCCUCCCUCGGCGCAGCCGCUGGCGAGGUGAUGCACCUGCAGUCCCCGCGGGGAGACCUUCGCUGCCCUGACGCCAGAGGAAGCAUCCUUCUACCCUCAGAUGUUACCUGCUGGUUUCUCUCUUCAUUCCUUGCUCUCCUCUUGCCUGUUCCACAACGAGUAAAGCACCUGGGCUGUAAAACCAGCCAAGGGAGAACAUGAGCCUCAUCCCUUCUCAGGGGUCUGCCUGGAUAAAUCCUGGCUGUGCUUUCCUGGCUGCUCAGAGAUCAAUGUCCAGUAGCAAAAACCCAGCCGAGGUGGUGCCAGGAAGCUCAGUGUUGCCUCCUGAGAUGGGAUGCUGAUCUUGGGCAGAUUGGGAGCUGGGGGCCAAAUCCUCGCAGCGCUAUAAACUACGCAGCACCAGAGGACACCACCGAAUCCCACUUCUCCCGCCGCUGCCGCGCAUUGCUUUCUGGGGGCGUCUACUGCUAAACAGUCCAAUUUUACUAAAGCCAACAGAAAGCAAAGUGAGGGCCCCGGGCAGAAAUUACCCCCCAUCUCCACUCCACGAGCUGCUUGUCACCUAACACAUGAGGGUGUUUCCUCAUAAAGAAAAUCACCUUUACAGGUGGGGAAAGCUUCUUGUUGGAAUGUAAUGUCUCCCAAGCACAGGAUUAUUAGGGCUGCCAUCAUUCCUACCUUAUUACAAUUAUUAUUAUUAAUUAUAAUCAUUAUGAAUUGUUAUUAUUAGAAGCUCCAGUGGAGGGAAGGCACCA
Molecule: long non-coding RNA, 1396 nt
Filed under: Struthio camelus australis
Lineage: Eukaryota; Metazoa; Chordata; Aves; Struthioniformes; Struthionidae
Description: lncRNA (ENSSCUG00000011319.1)
Source: RNAcentral